UUUCCUUAUUUCCCCCUGGUGACUUUGAAAAUGUGUCUCAGAUAAACAAAGAGGUUUAUAGAACAUCCUGAUUUACUAAACAUCUGGAAGUGUUCUCUAAUCUCUCAAACUAAGCUUUUCAUCUAUAGACAAAAUUUUACAGUCUUAUCAACUACACAAGAAACUGACUGCUGUCAAAACAUUGUCCAUGUAUAUAUACUUUCUGACACAAAAUUUGUGUUAUAAAUUUGCUCAAGAUGCCACCAACAAAUAGAAUGAGUUGGCUGAAAUCUCUGUGAGUAGUUGAAGAGAUAACCUGGAGUACAAACAAUGUGACAGAAAAAUGGGUAAAGAGUUGCAGAAUGAGUAGACUGUCCUGGAUUUUGAAAGAAAGGAACUAAGUAUAAAGAAAACAGAAGUUACUUUGGAGGGGAGCUGAGGGCAUUCAAAACUUGAAUAUUUUCACCAAGGGAAAGAUUGUAAAAUUCUGUAGCGUUAAAUGAAUUUUAAACUAUAAAUUCCUCAAAGAAGUCAGGGUAAAAUUCUAAUUCACUUUAAAAGUGUUUCUAAACACUUGAAGUAGCUAUUGUGCUUGAGCUAAAAUACAGUGAAGAAGGUUAUUGGUUCAGGUCCCUCAUGCAAUUUUUCUUCUCUCAGAUGUUUGUAACUCUUUUUCAUUCUCCCAGUAAACAUUGUCACUGUGCUGGUAAGACCAUAAAGCAGAAGUCAAAUUGUGUGGGUCAGACAUAUCCUGUCUGGCUGGUUUCUGGUUUUUUGCUCUCACAACAGGAUCCCACCAACCAUGACUGUGCUGUACAGUGCCAUGGGUGCAGCCCCUUGGAGCCAAACCUGGGGCUGCUGCAGAGGUUUUGGUUUGAUUCUCCCUGUUAUUGGAGAAUCAUGAAAAAUAGAUCCGUGUCCCCUCUUCUCCUUAAUUCAGUUUGCACUGUUUCCAUUAUCUGUACUCAUUUUAAAGGCUUCUUCAUUUCUAAUUUAUGAAGUCAAUACUUUAAAUAGCCUCCACAGACACCUGUUCUGAUAGCUGUGCCAUUUGCACAGGAUGAGUGCAUUGUUUUUCUAGGACUCUGCACUGUAUUUGAGGACUCUUACACUUGAUUUCAGUGGGUUUUUUCAUUAUGAAAUUCUUCCGCACAGUAAUAUGUAUGGGAAACAGUUUGUUGGUUUUAACUUAUAUAAAGAAUGCAUUUGUUUUGUGUUUUGGAUGGGGUUAUGCAAGUUUGUAAAAGCUCCAGCUUCUAAGUAGAGAGAAUUCUUUGUAGAUAAUUUAUCAUCUGUGGCAUUGCCUAUCUCUAAUUUAUUAAUUUUCUGCCCUGUUUGGCAUAAGUGUAAGACAGCCCUUUCACAAUGAGAUAGAUUUUGGCUGCAAAACCUUCCAUCUCCUCUGUCUGCAUUUAUACUGAAAUAACUAUUUCCACAGGAAUGAUCCAGUAACAGAAACCAUUCCAGUGGAGGAGUGAGGGUGGUGAGGGAGGGUGGGGGAGCAGAAAAUACAGUCUUGUCACCAAAGUUCAUCCCCUACCAGCUGCAUAUACCUCAUGGCACACUUCUGCUUAGUACUUUGACAGAAUCACCACCCAAGACAUUUCAGAGGAGAGUACUACCUGCCAUGAUACUCCAUCAUUAAAUCUAGUCCCAUGCAUACAGGAGAAGAGGCAUCUUCCAUCUUGUGCUUUAUUCUGUGUUGCCUGGCAGAAGGGAGGUCUUGUCUGCACAGGAUCAGUUAGAGAAAAUGCUUGCCAUGUUUCCUGUGUCUGGUUCGAGUGGCAACUUCAGAACAGCAGAGUUGACUGCACUGGAGGCUUUCCAUGGAAACAAGAGCAGAUUGUGGUAUUUCUGCUUCCCAUUGAACCAUAGGGAUAUCUCCAAAUAUCAUGCUGUCCAUUUAAUUUCCUCAUAUCUGUGCUGCACUGAUUUGAAUUGCAUGUGUUAAUUUAACUUCCUUCAUUUUUCAGCAACUACUUUAAUCUCAUGAAGAUUUGGCUACUACAAAAUAAGCAUCAAGUUCUAUCUUCUUUCAUUGGAAAAAUAAGGUGGGGUUUUUUUGCAGUGUUUUGGAGGUGUUCUGUCUUCCUCUAAAAUAAGGCAACAGCUGUGUUCUGAAUAGCAGAAACUGCAAGACGUUUCAGCAGUUCCUGUCAAAAAUUCUGGCAAGGUGCAAACAAGCUGGCUCAGGUGCAAGGAGGCAAAUGCUGGUAAUAGGAGAUGAAGCAGCAUUCCAAUCCUGCAGACCUCAGCAAGUUUCAUUCCUCCUCAGAAGGCUGAAUAUAUGCUCAAGAGUGCAUUUCAAUUCCUAUUAUUACACAGGCAUCGUACCACUGACAAGUAUAUUCUGGAUCAUAUCAAGUGUAUACAGCAGAAAUUUGUCAGAUGCACUGUGUCUGACCAUGAGUAGCAGCCAUCAAUGUCAGCUGAUAGAAAUGAUGGAAUACACCUGUGUUGCUGUUUCUGCUCCAAACUUUGAUGAAAGGUGAGACUUUCAUGAGCUUUCCUGGUUGCUAUGAUGCCAUUUUUAACAUAUUUCAGGGUUUUACUCAACAUUGACUUUUUAUUUCCGUAUUUGUAUCUGAAGUUGGCCAGCAUACUUCACUCCUGGCCUUCCCCUAAGUUUUCAACACCCCUUGGCCCUGCUCAAGUAUAGAAUUCUAUUAGUACUUUUUUCUGUAAAAAUUCCUCAGAGAAGUAAUGUUUUUAAUCCCCAUAGAAAACAACCAUUCUCCACUGAGAGAAUUUCAAUUUCCAGAAACACCGAGGCUACGUUUCUUUUUGACUAGAUGAUAUCAUUCCUAAAAGGAAUAAUGCAGUAGCCUGUCCAAAGCGUGCCUUGCUUCCAGAGCUAUUUCCCAGCCUGCAUUAAGGAGGUCAUGCAGGGGAAUUAUGCACUCUCUGUAUGUGUUUCUCUGGGGAGCUGGAACAAUGAAGAUGGUUGUUCUGUAAAACCAUGAUUUUCUGAUGCCACUUAACAAAAGUCAUCCUGGUGAGCUGCUGGAAUCAAAGCUGCUCUCUGCAACCUGGCAGCUGACCACAGGCUGUUGUCUACCAUUGGGCCUAAGAUGUUUAUCCACUCUCUGAUUAGAUCUAUUAAUAUACAUAUUUUUCCCUUCCAGCUGAUAACUGGUGGAAUUUAGUAGUACAUCUAUUUGUACCCAAUGUGCCUUCCCAAUUGUACCCAGUCUAUGCUUCCUUGCCCUUCCUUUCAGCUUUUACUAUGGCUUUGAAAUUAAUUCUACAAGUUAUUGAGUCCCCAGUAUCAUAAACUAGUGAAGUGGAAGCUGCCGUCUCCCAAAGGAACAGCACUUCAUCCUGCUUCUACCUGCUGUGCUUAAAUAUGGCCAGGAACCUGAAACCACUUUAUUCCUUUUCCAAUUCCUCUGAGAUGUUAUUUUUUUAUCCAGUAUAUUUAAUUAUUUUAAUACAGUGAUUAACAAGCUGAUUCACUCAAAUUUGGAAUAAACCUUUCAAAUGUGUCCAGAAAAUAUGGAAUGUCUGGGAUAUUCUGCAUCUGUGAAAUAUUCAAAAAUCUUUAUCUUACAUUUUCUUGGGGGUAAAUCUGUUGCUCUGGACCGUGUCUUGGAUAAAUAGGUAGAUUUUCAAAAGACAUCAGAGUUUGUUAGCUUUAAUUCAUAUCACAGCACAGACACUUGAGUGCCCUCUGGGCUUUACAAACAUUCCUGUGAGUGCCUCCUGAACUCUCCUCUCAUCCUGCAUGAGGUAACGCUGCUCGCUGCCCUCCCUCUGUCACUGACCCUUUGUUCUUCCAAACACAGCAGAGACAAUGACUCCUCUAAUGGAGGACAUGUCUCCUAAAACAUCAAUAAAAGUGUUGGGUACUUUGGGUUUGCUCUUUUCUAAGAGUAGGACUGAUCACAGACAGGGGGGUUUGUGUUUCACUUGAGGGGAGACAAGUGUGGCCGUGUAAAACUCUCCUGUUUUCUGCAGCUGACUCUAUCUGAAAUCCUUUGACUUUAUAUCAGCUGAUCAGAUAUUCAUUUGACCAGAAAGAGAGGGAGUAAGCACAAGGGUGACACAGCAUGACUGCCAUGGCACCUUCUCUCUUUCUGCCCCCUGCCACAGCCAAGUAACUUCUUGGUGCAAAAUAAGGUAGCCAAGAACUGCAGUGCAGAUUUCUCUGCUUCUCAAGCAAUGCCACAGCCUCCUCUCAGGAGAAUCAUAGGCUUUACUGAGACUUUAACCUAAGCCUGAUUUGAAAAUAAUUCCCUCAGUUUCUCUGGUUCAGUCUGGCCCCUUCUCAAAACAAUUUUUAUCUUAGUGGUAAGGGGACUCAUACAGAAAACAGAUUUGGUUGCCUUCAGGCAGAGACAGUGUGGGCCUACAGACUCUCCACUCACAGAAAAUUGCUGUAUGCUAAACUGUGGUUGACAGCAAGUGAUUAUCAACAUAUAGAGCUUUAUUCAAAAUUUGUGUCUACUUCUGAGGAGACCUUAACUCUUGUCAGGACUCUGAAGCAGCACAUGUGGAAAUGCAGGUCCUUUCAGAUGGAGGUUACAUCACAGCUGCCACCCCUGCUGAGACAGGUCAGUGCACAUGAGAAAUGCUGCUGCUGAAAACAGCUCUCAGUGCACUGAGAGGCUGGGCAGAACCUGAGUUUGGGUUCUGAUCAUUCAGAUUUUGGCAUUAUUCAUGUAAAGCAGCACCAACUGCAGCUUAUAGCCUAACUCUUUGAGGGAUCCACCCUGGUUUGUUGUAGGCCAGAGAAAAAAAUCUUUGGGAAAAUUUAAAUUUAAUUGUAUCUGUAGAUUGAUUUCAUGUAGGAAUUCUGACUUUUCGCUUCUAUAUUAAUGUAAAUAUUAUUCUAUUAAUAUAUUUAUAAUCUAAUUUACUAUUUCAGUGUUAGUGAAUGGAACUUCACUGUAGAAUGAAUAUUUCCAAACUGACAUUUUAUGACAAUUUAUAAAUUCCAGUUAAUGAAAUUACUUGCCUGUGUAAGGAAGUUCAUAUAAGAAAAAAAGAAAGGGAAGAAAGGCAAGGAUAUUUCAGAAGUGUUGUUGUCAUGUAACUUAAAGUGUCUUUUCUAUGUACCUUCAUUCAGAUUUAGAUACAUUGACAAUUGCCAUAAUUUAGCUGUAUGUGGUGGUUUGACCAGGAAGGAGUGGGAAUUCUGGGAAGCUGUGGUCAAACCAAUGAAGGUUUUGGGUUUGAGAC
This is a long non-coding RNA of Zonotrichia albicollis (white-throated sparrow), 5160 nucleotides long. RefSeq lists it as uncharacterized. The record is from RefSeq and is a predicted model, not a curated record. Lineage: Eukaryota; Metazoa; Chordata; Aves; Passeriformes; Passerellidae.